This 2325-nucleotide unclassified non-coding RNA is filed under the name Trichophyton benhamiae. Its description in RNAcentral is "partial miscellaneous RNA". Lineage: Eukaryota; Fungi; Ascomycota; Eurotiomycetes; Onygenales; Arthrodermataceae. The record is from RNAcentral.
UUGUAACACCCUCCCACCAAGCGGCAGCCGGCUAGAGACCCGGGCCAUUAGAGGGGGGGAAAGCAGCAAUUAUAUAGGUUUGUGGUAAAUCGUGCUGUCUCGUCCAUUUGAAUAUUCCUUCUAUGUUAUUUUUAUUUUAUUGUUUCUCUUUCUAUUUCCCCUCCUUUCUUCUUUCUCUCUUUCUCUCUUUCUUUUCCUUCGUUUUUCCCUUCGGCGAGGGCGGCCGUAGGCCGCCGCCGCGAAAAUUUUCGGAAAUUUUUAGGUAUCGGGGACGGCGCGACACCGCCGCUCCUUAGCUAUUGAUAGCUGGACUUUGGGCCUCGAGCGCGCGCUAUCGGACCGCCCCAGAGGCUGUCGGAGCCGCCCGGUAGGGUUCGGAGAUGAUUAUAUAACCGUGCUUGGGGCGCGCGCGCGGCGUCGGGCUGCCCCGGGGUGCCGUCGGGGCGGGCCGACAUGGCUGUCCGCAAGCGUACUUUGGCGGGCGCGCGCGCUGUCGGACGCGCCCGGGGGGCCGUCGGGGCGGGCCGACAUGGCUGUCCGCAAGCGUUUUGCGGUACCAUUUUGCGGUACCAUUUCGUGGUACCAUUUCGUGGUACCGCUUUUUGGUACCGUUUUUUAAAGUGCGCCGAAUCGAUUCGCGGGAGCCUUAGGCAGACUGUACACACGACGUCGAGACGAUUGAUAUAUAUCUCGCCGCCGCCGGGCCCCGGUGGACCCUCCAAAAGGGCGGCCCUAGAAGUGGUACCAGUGGUACCAUUUGGCGGUACCAUUUCGUGGUACCAUUUCGUGGUACCGCUUUUUGGUACCGUUUUUUGGUACCGUUUUUUAAAGUGCGCCGAAUCGAUUCGCGGGAGCCUUAGGCAGACUGUACACACGACGUCGAGACGAUUGAUAUAUAUCUCGCCGCCGCCGGGCCCCGGUGGACCCUCCAAAAGGGCGGCCCUAGAAGUGGUACCAGUGGUACCAUUUGGCGGUACCAUUUCGUGGUACCAUUUCGUGGUACCGCUUUUUGGUACCGUUUUUUAAAGUGCGCCGAUUGAGCCCGGGACCGCUCCAGGCAUAUUCUACGGACGAUUCGGAGCUGAUUGACAUAGACCUCGCCGCCGCCGGGCCCCGGUGGACCCUCCAAAAGUCCGGCCCUAAAAGUGGUACCAGUGGUACCAUGGCCCCAAAAUGGUACCGCGGACCCAAACGGUACCAUAGACCCAAACGGUGUAUAUUAUUUUCAUAGCGAAUAGGUGCGUCUUCACGACGAACGACCCCUCCCUACCCAAAAAAUAAAAAAGUUCCCCCGAUCCAGCCGUGGCUCUUAUAGGUGUUUCCUAUUAGCCUGCUUUAACCCCUCUCGGGGUGCCAGAUCGAUAGCACCCCUCCCCGCCGACUUAUGCCACCUUCGAGUUCUGAAAUCAGAAAAUUUUUAACCAAGUCCGCGAUUUUGUUCUGUUCGAGCCUCUGGAAACCGUUAAUUUUGCGGGUGCCAAGCCCACUUUCGACUGGACCCAUACAAAUCUUCUGCAAGUAGUGACACGGCUGGGCCCAAGGCACGUGACGCGUGUGAAAUCGCUCGAACAGACCUCGGUGAGUAUAUGUAGGGUGAGGUGAUACCGAAAAACCAAAAGUGGGUGAAAACGUUCUUUUGUAUGUUUAGCGGUUGACCUUUAUUCUUGCAAUUAUUCCGCGGGGGUAUACGUGGGCGAGGCGGGUUGGGCGUGGCUAGUUAAGUGUUUUUAAUUAAGACUUAGCUUUUCCCUCGCCCGUAGUCUCGGUCUCUCGGUUUCUUGUUUGCUGCAAUCGGUUCUCGAUGUCAAGGCUACCAACCCUAGGUUGGGCUUUCGACGCACGGGACGGUUCUGCGGCCUUCAGCGGCCUCGCGGUCCGACUGAGGGUUGCCCGAAUGCCUAGCGUCUCUAUACGCUAGGUUUCGAUGGGGCUUGUCGAUUGUUGGUCGCUGACCAUCGCUGACAUCCUUAAUUCCCGGGGGGGAGGUCGAUCUCGAUAUCCGCCGGCGCUUUAACUGCGCCUGCGUGCUCGGGUGUCGAUUCCCUCCUUCCGCUCCCCCAAUGCCGCAGGGGCCGGGCACGACGUGUCUUUGGUCGCCAAAAACUGCGCGCGGAGGAUGGAGGGAAAACUAUAGUGGGGGCAAUCGAAUGCCCGGUUCUCUCGGACGGUACGUCGUCUCGCUGAGGUUCGGGCGGGCCUGUACGUCUCGCGCGUUGGGCCCCGACCUUGUUUGAUCACUUCUCGGGCGUGGUUAGCUGUGCUGCCCGCCCGGCGCCAGAUCCUUGGGCUUCCGUUCGGGGGCCCUGGGGGGCGGCGGCAGGUGAG